GGGGCCAUAGCUCAAUUGGAUAGAGCAUCGGUCUACGGAACCGCAGGUUGGGGGUUCAAGUCCCUCUGGCCCCG
Molecule: transfer RNA, 74 nt
Filed under: Deltaproteobacteria bacterium
Lineage: Bacteria; Pseudomonadati; Myxococcota; Myxococcia
Also listed under: 1 other name
Description: tRNA-Arg
Rfam family: tRNA
About the family: Transfer RNA (tRNA) molecules are approximately 80 nucleotides in length. Their secondary structure includes four short double-helical elements and three loops (D, anti-codon, and T loops). Further hydrogen bonds mediate the characteristic L-shaped molecular structure. tRNAs have two regions of fundamental functional importance: the anti-codon, which is responsible for specific mRNA codon recognition, and the 3' end, to which the tRNAs corresponding amino acid is attached (by aminoacyl-tRNA synthetases). tRNAs cope with the degeneracy of the genetic code in two manners: having more than one tRNA (with a specific anti-codon) for a particular amino acid; and 'wobble' base-pairing, i.e. permitting non-standard base-pairing at the 3rd anti-codon position.
Source: RNAcentral